UCUAACAUCAGGCAGGCACGGAAUUCGUCAAUAGGCUUCAUUUCCCAUUGUAUUUCUUCCCCUGUUCUUAUUCAUUUUGUGAUGAAAUAGCACAGAUGACCCUGCGAUACCUAGAUUGGGGAAAAGAGUAGGUUUGCAUCUGACACGACUUGCUUUUAAUGUAGUGAAGGUAAUCCUUCGGUGGGUGAGGUUUAACCUUGCGGCACGCUCUCAUUUUGUCGAGGCAGUGCGGCUGUGGUUGUAUAGGUUGGACGAUCCUGUGCCUUUUCUUCUAUAUGUAGUUGAGCUAGUGUGUUUGGUUUUGCAUGCCCG
RNAcentral lists this long non-coding RNA (312 nucleotides) under Setaria italica (foxtail millet). Its description in RNAcentral is "long non-coding RNA (SITA_LNC000694)". The record is from RNAcentral. Lineage: Eukaryota; Viridiplantae; Streptophyta; Magnoliopsida; Poales; Poaceae.